AGCAGCCGCGGUAAUUCCAGCUCCAAUAGCGUAUAUUAAAGUUGUUGCAGUUAAAAAGCUCGUAGUUGAAUUUCGGGGUUAGCAGGUCGGUCGUGCCAUCGGUAUGAACUGGUCUCGCUGAUCCCUCCCUCUUGACGAACUGUGAUGCCAUUAAUUUGGUGUCGCAGGGAAUCAGGACUGUUACUUUGAAAAAAUUAGAGUGUUUAAAGCAGGCUCACGCUUGAAUACAUUAGCAUGGAAUAAUGAAAUAGGACGUUUGAUCCUAUUUUGUUGGCUUCUAGGAUUGACGUAAUGAUUAAUAGGGAUAGUUGGGGGCAUUAGUAUUCAAUUGUCAGAGGUGAAAUUCUUGGAUUUAUUGAAGACUAACUACUGCGAAAGCAUUUGCCAAGGAUGUUUUCAUUAAUCAAGAACGAAAGUUAGGGGAUCGAAGACGAUCAGAUACCGUCGUAGUCUUAACCAUAAACUAUGCCGACUAGGGAUCGGAUGAUGUUAAUUUUUUAAUGACUCA
RNAcentral lists this ribosomal RNA (508 nucleotides) under uncultured Glomus. Its description in RNAcentral is "SSU rRNA". It matches the Rfam family "Eukaryotic small subunit ribosomal RNA", at positions 569 to 1078 of the family's 1831-position model. The record is from RNAcentral. Lineage: Eukaryota; Fungi; Glomeromycota; Glomeromycetes; Glomerales; Glomeraceae.